AUCGCUUCUCGGCCUUUUGGCUAAGAUCAAGUGUAGUAUCUGUUCUUAUCAGUUUAAUAUCUGAUAGGUUCUCUAUUUGAGAACUAUAUAUUAAAUGGGUUUUUGGAAAUAGGAACUGGAACAGGAGCUUGCUCUGUCCACUCCAUGCAUCAACCUGGUAUUGCAGUGCCUCCAGGCAGGGCCGUAGCCAGA
Small nuclear RNA from Anolis carolinensis (green anole), 192 nucleotides. Its record names the gene U2. It matches the Rfam family "U2 spliceosomal RNA". From Rfam's summary of the family: U2 is a small nuclear RNA (snRNA) component of the spliceosome (involved in pre-mRNA splicing). Complementary binding between U2 snRNA (in an area lying towards the 5' end but 3' to hairpin I) and the branchpoint sequence (BPS) of the intron results the bulging out of an unpaired adenosine, on the BPS, which initiates a nucleophilic attack at the intronic 5' splice site, thus starting the first of two transesterification reactions that mediate splicing. The record is from Ensembl. NCBI's taxonomy places the organism in Eukaryota, Metazoa, Chordata, Lepidosauria, Squamata, Anolidae.